This 407-nucleotide ribosomal RNA is filed under the name uncultured bacterium. RNAcentral describes it as "partial 16S ribosomal RNA". It matches the Rfam family "Bacterial small subunit ribosomal RNA", at positions 28 to 525 of the family's 1533-position model. The record is from RNAcentral.
GACGAACGCUGGCGGCGUGCUUAACACAUGCAAGUCGAACGAAGUGGCGAACGGGUGAGUAAUACGUGGGUAACCUGCCCUCCUGUUUGGGAUUAGCCUUGGAAACGGGGUCUAAUACCGAAUAAAGGGGGUUGGCCUCGCGGCCUGUCAGCUUGGUGGUGGGGGCUUGGCCUACCAAGGCGGUGACGGGUAGCCGGCCUGGGGGGGUGAUGGGCCGGAUAGGGGCUGAGAGACGGCCCAGACUCCUACGGUAGGCAGCAGUGGGGGAGAUUGCACGAUGAGCGAAAGCCUGAUGCAGCGACGCCGCGUGGGGGAUGAAGGCUUUCGGGUUGUAAACCUGUUUGGCUAUCGAACGGGUAGGUUGGGAGGAGGCGCCGGUUAAUUACGUGCCAGCAGCCGCGGUAAUC